UCAAAAGUAUAAAAAGGCAUGUCAUUGGUUAGAAAUUGUCGACAUUUUUUAAAGUUUAUAUCAUGGACAGAUUCAAGGAUUAAAGAUAUUACGAAACAUCAGUUUAUUAAAAUUUAUGAUGAUAGUUUACAGUUCUAUUGAAUCAAUACAAGUGUGCAGCGUCAACAGAAGUAAAUCAGCAAUUAUUUUAAGGUGGACUUCAAUAUGUAUGAUCUACUUAUGCUGCCACAAUGUAAAGGCAACAAUCACUGGGUUUUGCUGGUUGCAAGUGUUAUGUCCAGGACUGUAACCAUUUACGACUCGUUGGGUGGUAACAACAAGGCCUUGUUCGAUUUGUUCUGCCAGUUCAUGUGUCAACGAGUGCAAAUUGUGAAAGAUGGCUUAGAAAAAUUCAGUUCAGAGUUCAAAGCGCCACCUUGCAACAAACAGCGCCAUGGAAACAGCUGUGGAGUGUUUGCAUUGAUGACUGCCAAAUGUUUGGUCAUGAAAAAGCAUCCCACAAUGUUGCGACAGGCCCAUGAUUCAGUUUAUCGAGACUAGUCGUGAGACGCAGACUUCUGAUUCAUGGUGUGCGGCAAACAUCUCUGUGCGACUCGAUCACUCCACUGUAAAGACCCGCACGGCAUUAAAAUGGAUAUUAUCAAUAUGUGUUGUUGCUCGAAAAUAUGUUUUUGUAGCAGGAAGUGCUUUGGGCUCGAUUAAUCUGAGAACUCAACAAAAUAUUAAUAAAAUCCUUCUGUGCCUUUUAGUUCUGAAAACAGAAGUAGCCAGUUGGUAUUACACAUCUCCUAAACAAGUACAGCACAAUAAAACUUAAGGUUUUAUAAUCCUAAAUUUUUAUAACAUCUUUAUAUCCACACAAAAAUAUUGAUGAUUGUGGUGCUCAGAUUGCAAAACCAUCUGUUUGGCAAAAAUAAUGCAGAUGGUUAGAUUAUGCUAAGUGCAAGAAAAAAAGAAUAACUCUGGAGAUAAUAAUUGAUAUGAUAAUCAUUGCUUGACAGAAUCACAAUUGACCUAGAUAUUUAUUUAUGUAGUGGUGUAUUUUUCAAUGAGUGCCUUAAGAUUCCAAAAACAUAUUGACUUAAAAUAAAUAAUCCC
RNA transcript from Dreissena polymorpha, 1098 nucleotides. It is a transcript of the gene named sentrin-specific protease 1-like, with no coding region annotated. The record is from RefSeq and is a predicted model, not a curated record. The transcript has 4 exons. NCBI's taxonomy places the organism in Eukaryota, Metazoa, Mollusca, Bivalvia, Myida, Dreissenidae.